This 508-nucleotide ribosomal RNA is filed under the name uncultured bacterium. RNAcentral describes it as "bacterial SSU rRNA". It matches the Rfam family "Bacterial small subunit ribosomal RNA", at positions 9 to 511 of the family's 1533-position model. The record is from RNAcentral.
GAGUUUGAUCAUGGCUCAGAUUGAACGCUGGCGGCAGGCCUAACACAUGCAAGUCGAGCGGUAGAGAGAAGCUUGCUUCUCUUGAGAGCGGCGGACGGGUGAGUAAUGCCUAGGAAUCUGCCUGGUAGUGGGGGAUAACGCUCGGAAACGGACGCUAAUACCGCAUACGUCCUACGGGAGAAAGCAGGGGACCUUCGGGCCUUGCGCUAUCAGAUGAGCCUAGGUCGGAUUAGCUAGUUGGUGAGGUAAUGGCUCACCAAGGCGACGAUCCGUAACUGGUCUGAGAGGAUGAUCAGUCACACUGGAACUGAGACACGGUCCAGACUCCUACGGGAGGCAGCAGUGGGGAAUAUUGGACAAUGGGCGAAAGCCUGAUCCAGCCAUGCCGCGUGUGUGAAGAAGGUCUUCGGAUUGUAAAGCACUUUAAGUUGGGAGGAAGGGCAGUAAAUUAAUACUUUGUCUGUUUUGACGUUACCGACAGAAUAAGCACCGGCUAACUCUGUGCCAG